AGAGUGAACGCUGGCGGCAGGCCUAAUACAUGCAAGUCGAACGGCAGCACGGCAGAGCUUGCUCUGUGGGUGGCGAGUGGCGGACGGGUGAGGAAUACAUGGGAAUCUGCCCAGUCGUGGGGGAUAACGUAGGGAAACUUACGCUAAUACCGCAUGCGCCCGUUCGGGGGAAAGCCGGGGACCUUCGGGCCUGGCGCGAUUGGAUG
RNAcentral lists this ribosomal RNA (206 nucleotides) under uncultured soil bacterium. RNAcentral describes it as "partial 16S ribosomal RNA". It matches the Rfam family "Bacterial small subunit ribosomal RNA", at positions 26 to 227 of the family's 1533-position model. The record is from RNAcentral.